This 250-nucleotide ribosomal RNA is filed under the name uncultured bacterium. RNAcentral describes it as "partial 16S ribosomal RNA". It matches the Rfam family "Bacterial small subunit ribosomal RNA", at positions 1250 to 1500 of the family's 1533-position model. The record is from RNAcentral.
CGAAACAGCGAUGUGGAGCAAAUCCCUAAAAACGGUCUCAGUUCAGAUUGUAGGCUGCAACUCGCCUACAUGAAGUCGGAAUUGCUAGUAAUCGCGGAUCAGCAUGCCGCGGUGAAUACGUUCCCGGGCCUUGUACACACCGCCCGUCACACCAUGGAAGUUGGUAACACCCGGAGCCUGUAGCCUAACCGCAAGGAGGGCGCAGUCGAAGGUGGGAUUAAUGACUGGGGUGAAGUCGUAACAAGGUAUC